CGGCGUGCUUAACACAUGCAAGUCGAACGAAGUCACUUUUGAUUGAUUUCCUCGGAAUGAUUUCACUUGUGACUGAGUGGCGGACGGUGAGUAACGCGUGGGUAACCUGCCAUAAGUGAGGGAUAGCCCAUGGAAACGUGGAGUAAUACCUCAUAUUGUAUAUUAACUGCAUGGUUGAUAUAUGAAAGAUUUAUCGCUUAUGGAUGGACUCGCGUCUGAUUAGAUAGUUGGUGAGGUAACGGCUCACCAAGUCGACGAUCAGUAGCCGAACUGAGAGGUUGAUCGGCCACAUUGGGACUGAGACACGGCCCAAACUCCUACGGGAGACAGCAGUUAGGAAUAUUCGUCAAUGGGGGAAACCCUGAACGAGCAAUGCCGCGUGAGUGAUGACGGUCCUUUGGAUUGUAAAACUCUGUUGUUAGGGAAGAACGACCUAUGUAGGAAAUGACAUAGGAGUGACGGUACCUUUCAAGAAAGCUCCGGCUAACUACGUG
This 494-nucleotide ribosomal RNA is filed under the name uncultured bacterium. RNAcentral describes it as "bacterial SSU rRNA". It matches the Rfam family "Bacterial small subunit ribosomal RNA", at positions 40 to 507 of the family's 1533-position model. The record is from RNAcentral.